RNAcentral lists this ribosomal RNA (439 nucleotides) under uncultured bacterium. Its description in RNAcentral is "bacterial SSU rRNA". It matches the Rfam family "Bacterial small subunit ribosomal RNA", at positions 8 to 495 of the family's 1533-position model. The record is from RNAcentral.
AGAGUUUGAUCAUGGCUCAGAACGAACGCUGGCGGCAGGCUUAACACAUGCAAGUCGANCGCCCCGCAAGGGGAGCGGCAGACGGGUGAGUAACGCGUGGGAACAUACCCUUUGGUUCGGAAUAACUCAGGGAAACUUGAGCUAAUACCGGAUACGUCCGUAAGGAGAAAGAUUUAUCGCCAAAGGAUUGGCCCGCGUCCGAUUAGCUAGUUGGUGAGGUAACGGCUCACCAAGGCUACGAUCGGUAGCUGGUCUGAGAGGAUGAUCAGCCACAUUGGGACUGAGACACGGCCCAAACUCCUACGGGAGGCAGCAGUGGGGAAUAUUGGACAAUGGGCGCAAGCCUGAUCCAGCCAUGCCGCGUGAGUGAUGAAGGCCUUAGGGUGGUAAAGCUCUUUUGUCCGGGAAGAUAAUGACUGUACCGGAAGAAUAAGCCCCG